UCGGGAAUUUUGGGCAAUGGGCGAAAGCCUGACCCAGCAACGCCGCGUGAGGGAUGAAGUAUUUCGGUAUGUAAACCUCGACAGAAUGGGAAGAAUAAAUGACGGUACCAUUUAUAAGCUCCGGCUAACUACGUGCCAGCAGCCGCGGUAAUACGUAGGGAGCAAGCGUUGUUCGGAUUUACUGGGCGUAAAGGGCGCGUAGGCGGCGCGGUAAGUCACUUGUGAAAUCUCCGCGCUUAACUCAGAACGGCCAAGUGAUACUGCUGGGCUAGAGUGCGGAAGAGGCAACCGGAAUUCUUGGUGUAGCGGUGAAAUGCGCAGAUAUCAAGAGGAACACCUGAGGCGAAGGCGGGUUGCUGGGCCGACACUGACGCUGAUGCGCGAAAGCCAGGGGAGCAAACG
This 402-nucleotide ribosomal RNA is filed under the name uncultured bacterium. RNAcentral describes it as "bacterial SSU rRNA". It matches the Rfam family "Bacterial small subunit ribosomal RNA", at positions 355 to 774 of the family's 1533-position model. The record is from RNAcentral.